AGAGAUGUAACUCAGUGGUAGAGUGUUUGUCUCGUAUACCCAAGACCCUGGGUUCUAUUCCCAGCAUUACAA
Molecule: transfer RNA, 72 nt
Filed under: Cavia porcellus (domestic guinea pig)
Lineage: Eukaryota; Metazoa; Chordata; Mammalia; Rodentia; Caviidae
Rfam family: tRNA
About the family: Transfer RNA (tRNA) molecules are approximately 80 nucleotides in length. Their secondary structure includes four short double-helical elements and three loops (D, anti-codon, and T loops). Further hydrogen bonds mediate the characteristic L-shaped molecular structure. tRNAs have two regions of fundamental functional importance: the anti-codon, which is responsible for specific mRNA codon recognition, and the 3' end, to which the tRNAs corresponding amino acid is attached (by aminoacyl-tRNA synthetases). tRNAs cope with the degeneracy of the genetic code in two manners: having more than one tRNA (with a specific anti-codon) for a particular amino acid; and 'wobble' base-pairing, i.e. permitting non-standard base-pairing at the 3rd anti-codon position.
Source: Rfam by way of RNAcentral